UAGAUACCCUAUUAUUCAAGGUUCGUCUCCUAAGGUAGUAGUUGUUAUUCUCUUGAAACCUAAAGAAUUUGGCGGUGUCAACUAAAAUCAGAGGAACCUGUUAACUAAUAGAUAAUCCACUCUAUCUCUUACUUAAAAUCAGUUUGUAUACCGUCAUCUAUAAUAAUUUUUUAAGAUAUUAAUUUCUUUGUUUAAACACAAAAGUUAGAUCAAGGUGCAGCUUUUCAAAGUUCAUAAUGGGUUACAAUUUAAAUCAGAAUGGCUAUCUUUUAUUAAAAAAUUUUAAAAUUGGAUUUGAAAGUAAUUUUUAGUUUAAUAAGCUAAAAUGAGUUAAUUUAAGACAUGUACACAUCGC
RNAcentral lists this ribosomal RNA (355 nucleotides) under unidentified. Its description in RNAcentral is "Burmoniscus sp. partial 12S ribosomal RNA". The record is from RNAcentral.